RNAcentral lists this long non-coding RNA (408 nucleotides) under Hordeum vulgare. RNAcentral describes it as "long non-coding RNA (HVUL_LNC004866)". Lineage: Eukaryota; Viridiplantae; Streptophyta; Magnoliopsida; Poales; Poaceae. The record is from RNAcentral.
UCCAAAGGAAAUUGUCUCAAUAAAUCCCAUAAAAUUUCAGGAGCCCUCCCAAGCCAUAUUAGGUGCUCACCUAAAAUCUCACCUUGAUCCAAGGUGGGGAAGUGCACCUAAUGAGACCAAAACCCUCUUUGUCCAGAGUAGAGUUGGAACAACUCUACAUUGCAAAGUUUCUCCAAUGAAGCUGAAACUUUGCACAGGUGUUUGACACCCCAAAUGAGGACUCCACACCAAAGAUGAGAUUUGUGAGACUCUGUUUGGCCACACUCCCUUUGUAAAUGACAAUACUGGUCAUUUUGAAACAUUUUCAAGUUUACAAAGCCAAACUUGUUCAAUGGAGCUCAGAUUUGGUGGAACCCCAUGUUUUUACCCCAAGACCAAACCUGUUAAGUUUCAUUUCCAGUGGUGGGG